This 497-nucleotide ribosomal RNA is filed under the name uncultured bacterium. RNAcentral describes it as "partial 16S ribosomal RNA". It matches the Rfam family "Bacterial small subunit ribosomal RNA", at positions 28 to 507 of the family's 1533-position model. The record is from RNAcentral.
GAUGAACGCUGGCGGCGUGCCUAAUACAUGCAAGUCGAGCGAACGGACGAGAAGCUUGCUUCUCUGAUGUUAGCGGCGGACGGGUGAGUAACACGUGGAUAACCUACCUAUAAGACUGGGAUAACUUCGAGAAACCGGAGCUAAUACCGGAUAAUAUUUUGAACCGCAUGGUUCAAAAGUGAAAGACGGUCUUGCUGUCACUUAUAGAUGGAUCCGCGCUGCAUUAGCUAGUUGGUAAGGUAACGGCUUACCAAGGCAACGAUGCAUAGCCGACCUGAGAGGGUGAUCGGCCACACUGGAACUGAGCCACGGUCCAGACUCCUACGGGAGGCAGCAGUAGGGAAUCUUCCGCAAUGGGCGAAAGCCUGACGGAGCAACGCCGCGUGAGUGAUGAAGGUCUUCGGAUCGUAAAACUCUGUUAUUAGGGAAGAACAUAUGUGUAAGUAACUGUGCACAUCUUGACGGUACCUAAUCAGAAAGCCACGGCUAACUACGUG